GUGAAGCCCCCCUCAAGAUGAGAUAUCCCUUCCCAAGAGGAAGUAAGACCCCUUGAAGACUACAAGGUAGAUAGGGCAGAGGUGGAAGCAUGGUAACAUGUGGAGCUGACUGUUACUAAUCGGUCGAGGGCUUGAUCAA
Molecule: ribosomal RNA, 139 nt
Filed under: Agathobacter sp.
Lineage: Bacteria; Bacillati; Bacillota; Clostridia; Lachnospirales; Lachnospiraceae
Description: partial 23S ribosomal RNA
Rfam family: Bacterial large subunit ribosomal RNA
Source: RNAcentral